Molecule: long non-coding RNA, 409 nt
Filed under: Androctonus crassicauda
Lineage: Eukaryota; Metazoa; Arthropoda; Arachnida; Scorpiones; Buthidae
Source: RNAcentral
GUGGAAUGUUAUAAGGACAAUUGUAAGAUUAGAUUAUCAUAAGUCAAAUGAUCAUAAGUAGAGGAGCACCUGUAUUAGAAAAAAAUUGAUAAAAUUAUAGAUCAACUAUAAAUUAUUUUUGGGAGAAUUCUAGAUUACCUGUCCUCAUAGCGCGACGCGACACUACUUCAAUUACGUUGUAUGACGCGGCGUUUAUACAAAAUACUGUUCAUUCUUUACUGUACCCCUCAGGGUGGUUCUGUACCAGGGCCUGGUACAGAACCACCUGAGGGCUGGUUUCGUUCUGUAGCCAGGCCCAGGGAGGCCCAAGAAAGGCCGGACAGCCUUUCAUUUAGGCCUCUCGUUCCCUCCCCCAGGCCGGAUGGCCUGCCGUGGGCUUGGUGGGACAGAUUUGGCCUGGUGACGUCAG